RNAcentral lists this ribosomal RNA (424 nucleotides) under bacterium CPTAC30. RNAcentral's name for it is "bacterial SSU rRNA". It matches the Rfam family "Bacterial small subunit ribosomal RNA", at positions 966 to 1387 of the family's 1533-position model. The record is from RNAcentral.
CAACUUGCUCCCGGUCGCGGACUCCAGAGACGGUACACUCUUCAGUUCGGCUGGACCGGAGACAGGCUGCUGCAUGGCUGUCGUCAGCUCGUGUCGUGAGAUGUUGGGUUAAGUCCCGCAACGAGCGCAACCCCCGUCCUUAGUUGCUACCAUUUAGUUGAGCACUCUAAGGAGACUGCCGGUGAUAAGCCGCGAGGAAGGUGGGGAUGACGUCAAGUCCUCAUGGCCCUUACGGGCUGGGCUACACACGUGCUACAAUGGCGGUGACAAUGGGAAGCGAAGACGCAAGUCCUAGCAAAUCUCAAAAAGCCGUCUCAGUUCGGAUUGGGCUCUGCAACUCGAGCCCAUGAAGUUGGAAUCGCUAGUAAUCGUGGAUCACCACGCCACGGUGAAGACGUUCUCGGGUCUUGCACACACACAAAAG